UGAAACCCAAAGGAAUUGACGGGGGCCCGCACAAGCGGUGGGGCAUGUGGUUUAAUUCGAAGCAACGCGAAGAACCUUACCAGGUCUUGACAUCCCUCUGGCCGCUCUAGAGAUAGAGUUUUCCUUCGGGACAGAGGUGACAGGUGGUGCAUGGUUGUCGUCAGCUCGUGUCGUGAGAUGUUGGGUUAAGUCCCGCAACGAGCGCAACCCCUAUUGUUAGUUGCCAUCAUUCAGUUGGGCACUCUAGCGAGACUGCCGGUAAUAAACCGGAGGAAGGUGGGGAUGACGUCAAAUCAUCAUGCCCCUUAUGACCUGGGCUACACACGUGCUACAAUGGCUGGUACAACGAGUCGCAAGCCGGUGACGGCAAGCUAAUCUCUGAAAGCCAGUCUCAGUUCGGAUUGUAGGCUGCAACUCGCCU
This 421-nucleotide ribosomal RNA is filed under the name uncultured bacterium. RNAcentral describes it as "bacterial SSU rRNA". It matches the Rfam family "Bacterial small subunit ribosomal RNA", at positions 895 to 1317 of the family's 1533-position model. The record is from RNAcentral.